RNAcentral lists this transfer RNA (56 nucleotides) under Ictidomys tridecemlineatus (thirteen-lined ground squirrel). RNAcentral describes it as "Spermophilus tridecemlineatus (thirteen-lined ground squirrel) tRNA". It matches the Rfam family "tRNA", at positions 8 to 63 of the family's 71-position model. Rfam says of the family: Transfer RNA (tRNA) molecules are approximately 80 nucleotides in length. Their secondary structure includes four short double-helical elements and three loops (D, anti-codon, and T loops). Further hydrogen bonds mediate the characteristic L-shaped molecular structure. tRNAs have two regions of fundamental functional importance: the anti-codon, which is responsible for specific mRNA codon recognition, and the 3' end, to which the tRNAs corresponding amino acid is attached (by aminoacyl-tRNA synthetases). tRNAs cope with the degeneracy of the genetic code in two manners: having more than one tRNA (with a specific anti-codon) for a particular amino acid; and 'wobble' base-pairing, i.e. permitting non-standard base-pairing at the 3rd anti-codon position. The record is from Rfam by way of RNAcentral. Lineage: Eukaryota; Metazoa; Chordata; Mammalia; Rodentia; Sciuridae.
UAGCUCAGUGAUAAAGCACUUGCCUACCAUGCAAGAGGCCUAGGUUUGAUUCCCAG